GCCAGAAUGGUGUAGUGGUUUGAACACCAGACUGUGACUCUGGAGACCAGGGUUUGAAUCCCAGCUUGGCCA
This is a non-coding RNA of Phrynosoma platyrhinos (Desert horned lizard), 72 nucleotides long. Lineage: Eukaryota; Metazoa; Chordata; Lepidosauria; Squamata; Phrynosomatidae. The record is from the annotation of a GenBank genome assembly.